RNAcentral lists this ribosomal RNA (468 nucleotides) under uncultured bacterium. RNAcentral describes it as "partial 16S ribosomal RNA". It matches the Rfam family "Bacterial small subunit ribosomal RNA", at positions 28 to 507 of the family's 1533-position model. The record is from RNAcentral.
GACGAACGCUGGCGGCGUGCUUAACACAUGCAAGUCGAACGGAAAGGCCCUGCUUUUGUGGGGUGCUCGAGUGGCGAACGGGUGAGUAACACGUGAGUAACCUGCCCUUGACUUUGGGAUAACUUCAGGAAACUGGGGCUAAUACCGGAUAGGAGCUCCUGCUGCAUGGUGGGGGUUGGAAAGUUUCGGCGGUUGGGGAUGGACUCGCGGCUUAUCAGCUUGUUGGUGGGGUAGUGGCUUACCAAGGCUUUGACGGGUAGCCGGCCUGAGAGGGUGACCGGGCACAUGGGGACGGAGAUACGGCCCAGACGGCUACGGGAGGCAGCAGUGGGGAGUAUGGCAGAGUGGGCGGAAGCCUGAUGCAGCAAUGCCGCGUGCGGGAUGAUGGCCGUCGGGUUGUAAACCAAUGUCGACUGUGACGAAGCGUGAGUGACGGGAAGGGGUAAGAAAGCAACGGAUAACUACGUG